UACGUAGGGUGCGAGCGUUGUCCGGAAUUACUGGGCGUAAAGAGCUCGUAGGUGGUUUGUCGCGUUGUUCGUGAAAACUUGGGGCUCAACCCCAAGCCUGCGGUCGAUACGGGCAGGCUCGAGUUCGGUAGGGGAGACUGGAAUUCCUGGUGUAGCGGUGAAAUGCGCAGAUAUCAGGAGGAACACCGAUGGCGAAGGCAGGUCUCUGGGCCGAUACUGACGCUGAGGAGCGAAAGCGUGGGGAGCGAACAGG
This 253-nucleotide ribosomal RNA is filed under the name uncultured bacterium. RNAcentral's name for it is "partial 16S ribosomal RNA". It matches the Rfam family "Bacterial small subunit ribosomal RNA", at positions 524 to 776 of the family's 1533-position model. The record is from RNAcentral.